UGAUAAUCUAGUUUGUUGUUU
RNAcentral lists this non-coding RNA (21 nucleotides) under Caenorhabditis elegans. Lineage: Eukaryota; Metazoa; Nematoda; Chromadorea; Rhabditida; Rhabditidae. The record is from RNAcentral.